RNAcentral lists this ribosomal RNA (253 nucleotides) under uncultured bacterium. RNAcentral's name for it is "partial 16S ribosomal RNA". It matches the Rfam family "Bacterial small subunit ribosomal RNA", at positions 524 to 776 of the family's 1533-position model. The record is from RNAcentral.
UACGGGGGGGGCAAGCGUUGUCCGGAAUUAUUGGGCGUAAAGGGUUCGUAGGCGGCUUGCUAAGUCAGAUGUGAAAUCCCUCGGCUCAACCGGGGAACUGCGUCUGAGACUGGCGAGCUUGAGUGCAGGAGAGGAACGCAGAAUUCCAGGUGUAGCGGUGAAAUGCGUAGAUAUCUGGAGGAAUACCGGUGGCGAAGGCGGCGUUCUGGACUGCAACUGACACUGAGGAGCGAAAGCCAGGGGAGCAAACGGG